UCCGUUUUCACAACGGCAGUCUCUCUAGAGUCCCCGGCCGAACCGAUGGUAACUAGAGACAAGGGUUUCGCUCGUUGAGGGACUUAACCCGACAUCUCACGACACGAGCUGACGACAGCCAUGCAACACCUGUCCACGUUUCACUCUUGCGAGUAGGGUAUCCUGCUUUCACAAGACCCAUCCGUGAAUUUCAAACCCGGGUAAGGUUCUUCGCGUUGCUUCGAAUUGAACCACAUGCUCCACCGCUUGUGUGAGCCCCCGUCAAUUCCUUUGAGUUUUAGCCUUGCGACCGUACUCCCCAGGCGGGGCACUUAACACAUUUGCUUCGGCAGAGAGAGUAUCGACACCCCCUCUACCCAGUGCCCAUCGUUUACAGCUAGGACUAC
Molecule: unclassified non-coding RNA, 386 nt
Filed under: uncultured Planctomycetota bacterium
Lineage: Bacteria; Pseudomonadati; Planctomycetota
Description: uncultured planctomycete contains 16S-23S intergenic spacer region
Source: RNAcentral